GACUUCUGGCAGCUGGGUUUCUUUUCACUUUAGUGGUCGUGGGGCUUCCUAUGCCUUCAGGGCUGGGUGCGGGGCCGACCGGCGCUGGAAGGGGGCAGUGAAAGUACGCGUUUGACCCGGGACGCCGAGGAGCCUCUCGGGAGACACCUGGCUUGUCCCGCCCCCUCCCGGGCUACCGGGUCUGCGAGGCCGAUCGGGCUGUCCAGAGCCACGUCGCGACUGCUGGUAAACGCGCUUCCCCGGGGUUUUUGCAGACACGGC
RNAcentral lists this long non-coding RNA (261 nucleotides) under Marmota monax (woodchuck). The record is from RNAcentral. Lineage: Eukaryota; Metazoa; Chordata; Mammalia; Rodentia; Sciuridae.